RNAcentral lists this ribosomal RNA (314 nucleotides) under uncultured eukaryote. RNAcentral describes it as "partial 18S ribosomal RNA". It matches the Rfam family "Eukaryotic small subunit ribosomal RNA", at positions 1470 to 1796 of the family's 1831-position model. The record is from RNAcentral.
CCCUUAGAUGUUCUGGGCUGCACGCGCGCUACACUGACACUAUCAACGAGUGCUCCUGGUUUGAAAGGAUCGGGUAAUCUUUUGAAAUGGCGUCGUGAUGGGGAUAGAUCAUUGCAAUUAUUGAUCUUGAACGAGGAAUUCCUAGUAAAUGUGAGUCAUCAGCUCACGUUGAUUACGUCCCUGCCCUUUGUACACACCGCCCGUCGCUCCUACCGAUUGAGUGAACCGAUGAGUAGUCCGGAUUGCGAUCGACCUCGGUUAAUCGCGAGAAGUUCCGCAAAUCACUUCACUUAGAGGAAGGAGAAGUCGUAACA